AUACGUAGGUGGCGAGCGUUGUCCGGAAUUACUGGGUGUAAAGGGCGUGUAGGCGGGGAAGCAAGUCAGAUGUGAAAUUCCGGGGCUCAACUCCGGCGUUGCAUCUGAAACUGUUUUUCUUGAGUGCUGGAGAGGAAAGCGGAAUUCCUAGUGUAGCGGUGAAAUGCGUAGAUAUUAGGGGGAACACCAGUGGCGAAGGCGGCUUUCUGGGCAGUAACUGACGCUGAGGCGCGAAAGCGUGGGGAGCAAUCAGGAUUAGAUACCCUGGUAGUCCGCGCCGUAAACGAUGGAUACUAGGUGUAGGAGGUAUCGACCCCUUCUGUGCCGGAGUUAACACAAUAAGUAUCCCACCUGGGGAGUACGGCCGCAAGGCUGAA
RNAcentral lists this ribosomal RNA (377 nucleotides) under uncultured bacterium. RNAcentral's name for it is "bacterial SSU rRNA". It matches the Rfam family "Bacterial small subunit ribosomal RNA", at positions 523 to 898 of the family's 1533-position model. The record is from RNAcentral.